RNAcentral lists this ribosomal RNA (156 nucleotides) under uncultured Bacillota bacterium. Its description in RNAcentral is "uncultured Firmicutes bacterium partial 16S ribosomal RNA". It matches the Rfam family "Bacterial small subunit ribosomal RNA", at positions 367 to 514 of the family's 1533-position model. Lineage: Bacteria; Bacillati; Bacillota. The record is from RNAcentral.
GGCAAUGGGGGCAACCCUGACCGAGCAACGCCGCGUGAGUGAAGAAGGUUUUCGGAUCGUAAAGCUCUGUUGUAAGAGAAGAACGAGUGUGAGAGUGGAAAGUUCACACUGUGACGGUAACUUACCAGAAAGGGACGGCUAACUACGUGCCAGCAG